RNAcentral lists this ribosomal RNA (774 nucleotides) under uncultured Haemophilus sp. RNAcentral describes it as "bacterial SSU rRNA". It matches the Rfam family "Bacterial small subunit ribosomal RNA", at positions 73 to 842 of the family's 1533-position model. Lineage: Bacteria; Pseudomonadati; Pseudomonadota; Gammaproteobacteria; Pasteurellales; Pasteurellaceae. The record is from RNAcentral.
AGAAAGCUUGCUUUCUUGCUGACGAGUGGCGGACGGGUGAGUAAUGCUUGGGAAUCUGGCUUAUGGAGGGGGAUAACGACGGGAAACUGUCGCUAAUACCGCGUAGUGUCGAGAGACGAAAGUGCGGGACUGAGAGGCCGCAUGCCAUAGGAUGAGCCCAAGUGGGAUUAGGUAGUUGGUGGGGUAAAGGCCUACCAAGCCUGCGAUCUCUAGCUGGUCUGAGAGGAUGACCAGCCACACUGGAACUGAGACACGGUCCAGACUCCUACGGGAGGCAGCAGUGGGGAAUAUUGCGCAAUGGGGGGAACCCUGACGCAGCCAUGCCGCGUGAAUGAAGAAGGCCUUCGGGUUGUAAAGUUCUUUCGGUAUUGAGGAAGGUUGAUGUGUUAAUAGCACAUCAAAUUGACGUUAAAUACAGAAGAAGCACCGGCUAACUCCGUGCCAGCAGCCGCGGUAAUACGGAGGGUGCGAGCGUUAAUCGGAAUAACUGGGCGUAAAGGGCACGCAGGCGGUUAUUUAAGUGAGGUGUGAAAGCCCCGGGCUUAACCUGGGAAUUGCAUUUCAGACUGGGUAACUAGAGUACUUUAGGGAGGGGUAGAAUUCCACGUGUAGCGGUGAAAUGCGUAGAGAUGUGGAGGAAUACCGAAGGCGAAGGCAGCCCCUUGGGAAUGUACUGACGCUCAUGUGCGAAAGCGUGGGGAGCAAACAGGAUUAGAUACCCUGGUAGUCCACGCUGUAAACGCUGUCGAUUUGGGGGUUGGGGUUUAACUCUGG